UACGGAGGGAGCUAGCGUUGUUCGGAAUUACUGGGCGUAAAGCGCACGUAGGCGGCUUUGUAAGUUAGAGGUGAAAGCCCGGGGCUCAACUCCGGAACUGCCUUUAAGACUGCAUCGCUUGAAUCCAGGAGAGGUGAGUGGAAUUCCUAGUGUAGAGGUGAAAUUCGUAGAUAUUAGGAAGAACACCAGUGGCGAAGGCGGCUCACUGGCCCGGUACUGACGCUGAGGCGCGAAAGCGUGGGGAGCAAACAGG
Molecule: ribosomal RNA, 253 nt
Filed under: uncultured bacterium
Lineage: Bacteria
Description: partial 16S ribosomal RNA
Rfam family: Bacterial small subunit ribosomal RNA
Source: RNAcentral